CCUUUAGUGAGGUGGACACGCUUAUGACUUGAAUAUAGUGGGGUCUAGGGGUACAGGAUCUAACCUUCAACGGGUUUUAUAGAGGGUCUGUCGAGUUUAACGGCCAGCAGCCGCGGUAAUUCCAGCUCCAAUAGCGUAUAUUAAAGUUGUUGCAGUUAAAAAGCUCGUAGUUGAACCUUGGGCCUGGCUGGCCGGUCCGCCUCACCGCGUGCACUGGUCCGGCCGGGCCUUUCCUCCUGGGGAGCCGCAUGCCCUUCACUGGGUGUGUCGGGGAACCAGGACUUUUACUUUGAAAAAAUUAGAGUGUUCAAAGCAGGCCUAUGCUCGAAUACAUUAGCAUGGAAUAAUAGAAUAGGACGUGUGGUUCUAUUUUGUUGGUUUCUAGGACCGCCGUAAUGAUUAAUAGGGAUAGUCGGGGGCAUCAGUAUUCAAUUGUCAGAGGUGAAAUUCUUGGAUUUAUUGAAGACUAACUACUGCGAAAGCAUUUGCCAAGGAUGUUUUCAUUAAUCAGUGAACGAAAGUUAGGGGAUCGAAGACGAUCAGAUACCGUCGUAGUCUUAACCAUAAACUAUGCCGACUAGGGAUCGGGCGAUGUUAUCUUUUUGACUCGCUCGGCACCUUACGAGAAAUCAAAGUCUUUGGGUUCUG
Molecule: non-coding RNA, 648 nt
Filed under: Oidiodendron maius Zn
Lineage: Eukaryota; Fungi; Ascomycota; Leotiomycetes; Myxotrichaceae
Description: Eukaryotic small subunit ribosomal RNA
Rfam family: Eukaryotic small subunit ribosomal RNA
Source: Rfam by way of RNAcentral